This 497-nucleotide ribosomal RNA is filed under the name uncultured bacterium. RNAcentral describes it as "partial 16S ribosomal RNA". It matches the Rfam family "Bacterial small subunit ribosomal RNA", at positions 28 to 507 of the family's 1533-position model. The record is from RNAcentral.
GAUGAACGCUGGCGGCGUGCCUAAUACAUGCAAGUCGAGCGAACAGACGAGGAGCUUGCUCCUCUGACGUUAGCGGCGGACGGGUGAGUAACACGUGGAUAACCUACCUAUAAGACUGGGAUAACUUCGGGAAACCGGAGCUAAUACCGGAUAAUAUAUUGAACCGCAUGGUUCAAUAGUUAAAGACGGUUUUGCUGUCACUUAUAGAUGGAUCCGCGCCGCAUUAGCUAGUUGGUAAGGUAACGGCUUACCAAGGCAACGAUGCGUAGCCGACCUGAGAGGGGGAUCGGCCACACUGGAACUGAGACACGGUCCAGACUCCUACGGGAGGCAGCAGUAGGGAAUCUUCCGCAAUGGGCGAAAGCCUGACGGAGCAACGCCGCGUGAGUGAUGAAGGUCUUCGGAUCGUAAAACUCUGUUAUUAGGGAAGAACAAAUGUGUAAGUAACUAUGCACGUCUUGACGGUACCUAAUCAGAAAGCCACGGCUAACUACGUG